AGUGAACGCUGGCGGUAGGCCUAACACAUGCAAGUCGAUCGGCAGCACAGUAAGAGCUUGCUCUUACGGGUGGCGAGUGGCGGACGGGUGAGGAAUACAUCGGAAUCUACUUUUUCGUGGGGGAUAACGUAGGGAAACUUACGCUAAUACCGCAUACGACCUACGGGUGAAAGCAGGGGAUCUUCGGACCUUGCGCGAUUGAAUGAGCCGAUGUCGGAUUAGCUAGUUGGCGGGGUAAAGGCCCACCAAGGCGACGAUCCGUAGCUGGUCUGAGAGGAUGAUCAGCCACACUGGAACUGAGACACGAUCCAGACUCCUACGGGAGGCAGCAGUGGGGAAUAUUGGACAAUGGGCGCAAGCCUGAUCCAGCCAUACCGCGUGGGUGAAGAAGGCCUUCGGGUUGUAAAGCCCUUUUGUUGGGAAAGAAAAGCAGCAGGUUAAUACCCCGCUGUUCUGACGGUACCCAAAGAAUAAGCACCGGCUAACUUCGUG
Molecule: ribosomal RNA, 492 nt
Filed under: uncultured bacterium
Lineage: Bacteria
Description: partial 16S ribosomal RNA
Rfam family: Bacterial small subunit ribosomal RNA
Source: RNAcentral